RNAcentral lists this ribosomal RNA (492 nucleotides) under uncultured bacterium. Its description in RNAcentral is "partial 16S ribosomal RNA". It matches the Rfam family "Bacterial small subunit ribosomal RNA", at positions 29 to 507 of the family's 1533-position model. The record is from RNAcentral.
AGUGAACGCUGGCGGUAGGCCUAACACAUGCAAGUCGAACGGCAGCACAGUAAGAGCUUGCUCUUACGGGUGGCGAGUGGCGGACGGGUGAGGAAUACAUCGGAAUCUACUUUUUCGUGGGGGAUAACGUAGGGAAACUUACGCUAAUACCGCAUACGACCUACGGGUGAAAGCAGGGGAUCUUCGGACCUUGCGCGAUUGAAUGAGCCGAUGUCGGAUUAGCUAGUUGGCGGGGUAAAGGCCCACCAAGGCGACGAUCCGUAGCUGGUCUGAGAGGAUGAUCAGCCACACUGGAACUGAGACACGGUCCAGACUCCUACGGGAGGCAGCAGUGGGGAAUAUUGGACAAUGGGCGCAAGCCUGAUCCAGCUAUACCGCGUGGGUGAAGAAGGCCUUCGGGUUGGAAAGCCCUUUUGUUGGGAAAGAAAAGCAGCAGGUUAAUACCCCGCUGUUCUGACGGUACCCAAAGAAUAAGCACCGGCUAACUUCGUG